CGGCGAUAAAAACUGAAAGGCCGGUCUUACGACUGCCUCCCCCGACUCGUCCCGGGAUGGUAGUAGUGUGAUGUGAUAUCAUCUUGGGAAAGGUUUUACUCUGAGCCGC
Molecule: non-coding RNA, 109 nt
Organism: Hordeum vulgare subsp. vulgare (domesticated barley)
Lineage: Eukaryota; Viridiplantae; Streptophyta; Magnoliopsida; Poales; Poaceae
Source: Rfam